AUACUAACCUGGCAGGUGAGAUACCAUGAUCAUGAAAGUGGUUUUCCCAGGGUGAGGCACAUUCAUUGCACUUUGGGUGUGCUGAUCCCUGUGAUUUCCCCAAAUGUGGGAAAAUCAACUGCAUAAUUUGUGGUAGUGGGGGACUGUGUUUGUGUUUUCACCUG
This 164-nucleotide small nuclear RNA is filed under the name Pogona vitticeps (central bearded dragon). RNAcentral's name for it is "U1 spliceosomal RNA (ENSPVIG00000020642.1)". It matches the Rfam family "U1 spliceosomal RNA". Rfam says of the family: U1 is a small nuclear RNA (snRNA) component of the spliceosome (involved in pre-mRNA splicing). The record is from Rfam by way of RNAcentral. Lineage: Eukaryota; Metazoa; Chordata; Lepidosauria; Squamata; Agamidae.